UAAGUGUGCAGUGCCGGGGCAUUAAGCAUAUUCACACUGCUGUGCCUCCCCCCCCCCCGUCAUCUCCAGAACUGAGUCCCUGUCCCCAUGGAACGCUGACCCCCAGCCCCUCCCCCGCCCCGGGGCGCCACACUCUAACUCCCGUCUGUUUGGCUCUCAGGACGAGGUGUCUUCCGCAAGGGGCAUGACGCAGAAUCUGUCUUUUGCGACUGGCUUGUCUCACUUGGCAUGAUGCCUUUAAGGUUCAUGCACAUUGUAGACCGUGUCAGAAUCUCCUCUUUCCAAGGCUGAAUGAUCCUGCAGUGUAUGUACAGACCAUGUUUUGUUCACCUGGGAAUGGACACGUGGGUCGCUUCCGCCUUUGGCUGUUGUGAUGAACGCUGCUGUGAACGUGGGAGUGCAAAUCUGUCUGAGACCCUGAUUUCAGUUCUUUGGGGUAAAUACCCAGAAGCGGGAUCGCCAGAUGAUGUGGUAAUUGUGCUUCAUUUUGAGGAACCACCACAUUGCUUCCACAGAGGCAGCUCUAUUUACAUUCCCACCAACGGUGCCCAAGGGUUUCGGUUUCUCCACAUCCUCACCAACACUUGUUAUUUUCGGUUUUUUUCCACCAUGGCUAUCCUUGUGGGUGGGAGGUGGUACCUCCAGGCGUCUGAAGCACGCGGGGUCUGGUGCAGCAAUGAGUACUCAGAAGAUCACUGGGAGGCUGCAGAGGCCCCGGCGGGCAGUACCAGUGACACGCACCUCCCAGGGCUCUGCCCCGCAGCUCAGCAGCCCGAGAUCAGACACUGGGGCACCGGUGCAGAAAGCCCUGCGUGCCUGUGGUCCUGUCCGAUGGCAGAACACAGCCCAGAACAGCAAGGCGAUGCCCCCCGCCCUCCGCCUCCGUCAUCUCACGUAGCAUGUUUACCCCACGGACCCGAACGUGCGCCCGGGGCGCCUGCCACACGCCCUCUAGGCCCGGGGGCACCACCAGGAGAUGGAACGGGUGGGGAGGGCAGCACCGUGCUGGUGCAGCAGGGCUACUGUCAACAUCCCCUAGGAACCCGCUCCCGCCACACUGGCCUGCAGACCUGCCCGGCGGCUGCCUCCUGCCAGAGGCCCCUGCACGUGUCAGUCCCUCCUGGAACGUCCUCGGCCUCCACGUAGCAUGGGAGCGUCUACUCAGCUGAAACACGUCACUUUCUCAUAGCAGUUUUAUUCAUAGGAGGUGAAAAUUAGAACAGCCCAAAUACCCGCCAGCAGGAGAAGGUAGCCAGCGCCGUGCGGACGUUACACGCAGCGAGAAAGCCCCUCUCGGCACUGCAUGCGGCGGCCGCAGGCCUCACACACAGAGCUGCGGGGGAGAAGCCAGGCCCAGGCUUGGUCUUUGUGAGGCUCAGAAAGAAGCAGUCAGUACCCGUGGAGGGAGGGGAGGGGGCAGGGAGGAGUGGUCCUGUGGGGGAGGGGCACAGGGCGCCUCUGGGGUUGGAAGCUGUCUGCAACACGGUCAGGGCGUGGUUGUGCGCGUGUGCACGUGGGUACAGGCUCAGAAGCUGUGUGCCUGAAAUGUGUGUCCUUUGCACAGUACAAAGUGAAAGCAAAGCAGGUUCUCUUCUCUGGGAAGCCUUUUCCCAAAACUAGAACAAAUGCCCCACCGUGAGGGGCCAGGUCUGGGCAGCCUCCUCCAGGGCUCUGUGAUGGUGCCUGUGGUCUGCUCCCCCUCGCCGCAGUCGUCUCUGUCCCCCCAGUACCUGUUUCUGGAGGACCCCCGCGAGGGGGGUGCACCCGGUCCUGCAACCAGCAUGCUCUCUGGCACCAGCAGUGUGGCUCGUGCUUGCAAUGUGAGCGCCAAACCCAGAGCUGAGAGGGAGCUCACAGACUUGCAGCUGAUUAAUCUGGUAGCCCAGCUGAGCCGAGAGGCCAGGGAAGGCAGCUUUGUGAAACAGAACCACCCCCGCCUGCCACUCUUCUUCAUAAAACUGCACCACGCUCCACUAGCUUCUCCAAAAAAAAGACAAAGAAUCUUUUCACCUUGAAGUCUCACCACUUAUGAUCCUUAAAAUCAUGUGCACGUAACAUUUAUGUAACUGUGUUCAUGUGACACAUAAGGCUUGGAGGCUGCCAGUACAUCCAGGGGCAGAGGACAUGUGUGUCGGGGGCGGAGGAGGAGGGAGAGGUGGGGGGCUGCUGGGCCUGGUCUGCCUGCAGCCCCACAGUCUAGAAACUGCUGAGGACGGGCAGUGACCGCUCAGCGCUCAUCUGGCCUGGGACUCUGCUCUCAUGCCAGUGGGGUAUUCACUGCGUCCUAGAGGCAAAGCCAGGCCCAUAGAGAGGCAGAUGGCUGAGGAUAGAGACCAGCUUUCAAAUGAUUAGAGGAGUGACCUUGAGAGGUGGUGAGCCCCCUGUCCCCAGAUGUAUGCAAGUAGGGACUAAAAGACCCUUGGUGAGGGAUACCAUGAUGGGAAGAGGAUGGGGGCUCUUGGAGGAUCUCAGGGGCCCGGGAGUGUUGUGUCCACAUUUUUUGAAACCCUUCGCCCUUCCUGAAGGAGUCAUGCUCGCCAGGCUGCCUGCGACUACAGAGUCUUGGGAGGCAGGGUCCGGGAGGGGCCUUCAAAGUGCUGUUCCCACCCAGACAGUGGCCGCGGGAGCUCCUGGGCGCAGGCUCCACGGGAGGGCGGUCCCCGGCACAGCCCUUCGGCAGGAGAGCUGUGUUAACGUGGGCUCUGGAGCCCAACUGUCUGGCUCCAGCUCGUGUGGGAGGCGGGACGGGACCCAGAUUGAGGAAGUUUCGAUGGGCCUUUCCCACGUUCAGGAAGGAGGGGCCUCCCAUCCCGACACCCCCUCCUAACUUGAACCAGCACCCUCCCUGUGGGGUGUCUGCUGUGUGCCAGUACCAUUUCAGUAGCUCACUGAAUCCUCCCGGCCCUUCUGUGAUGCCUCCUCUCAUUUUACGGGUAAGGAAAUGGAGGCCAGAGUGGUUCAUUAACUUGCUCAAGGUCACACAGCCAGUAAGUGGUAGAAUCCAGGAAAGCUGGGAUUUGUGGGGGCUCCAGCUCUGUGUGCCUGUGGGCGAGCCGGUGGACUUCAGCCUCCACAUCUGCUGCAACGGGGCCCACGAGACCCCAGGCCCUCCCAGUGGUGCCUUCUGGAACAGCAGGCGCGUCCAUGAUGUCGGCCCCUUCACUCUAGGGAGAAGCUGGUCCCGCCUGGUUAGUGUGGGGUCAGCCCGCAGACCCCUCCAGCCCAGCCUUUCCUGGGCCCCUCAGCGGGCUGGCUCUCCAGGGGGCCGGGGUUCACACACCCGGACAGGAUGAUCACAGCUGCGUGUCUGCUUCCUGGCGACGUCACCAGGACAAGGGCCAGAAGGGUCUGAGGCUCAUCCUGGGAGGGGCACUGGGGCAGGCACCCCUGCAGGGCGGGACUCGGGCUGCAUGUACAGUAGGCAUCCAGCAGGUGCCUGUGGGGUUGUUGACUGAGCAAGGGAGGAACACACGCUUCGGCAGAAGUCGUCUGGGUCAGGAACACUUGAACAGCUCCCGUUCCUUCCUCGGGCCUCAGUCUCCCCACCGGGCCUCCCGGGUGCGGAGGGCACAGCGAGGCACGUGUUCAGUGGACGCUGCAAUGCUCACCCCACCCACGGGGGCCCUGCCAUCAGGACUGUGCACCCCGCCCCAUGGCCUCCGCGUGUGCUUCCCUGCAGGGCUCACUCCGCACCCUCGCUGGGCACCUGGGGCAGAGCCGUAGGGCCUCAGCUGAUGACCAUCAGGGCAGGGUCUGGACGCCCAGGCCCCCCUCAGCACCUCCUGAGCUGGAAUUUCUGCUCCGAGCCUCCUGCAGUUUCUGAUUUUAUUCUCCUGAAUAAACCACUCACACUCAAGUAUUUGUCUGGGUGGCGGCUUCCAGAAUCACCUGAGACGCAGGCAUGAAUCUGCCCCCACAGAACCUGAGCCCACCUGACACUACUGCGUAACAGAACCUUUCCUAUCUCAUCUCAGAAAAAGCACCUGCAGUUAACAGACUGUGGGUUUACCUGUGGUUUUGGGGGAGAGGCCCGUGCCCUUCCCAAGUGUGUGCUGCUUGGUGCUAAUGACGGUGGAGAACCAGUAACAUCAGUGAAGCCUGUUUAAAGCAUUUUGUUUCAGAAAUCAAACUCACUUGCUUCUGGGAGUUGCUAGUGUUGGAGAGUUCCUUGUCUUUCAGAAUCCCAAACAAGGCAGAAGAAAACUGGGCCUGAAUGUUGAGCAAGAGCCUGCUCAUGGCCUGUCAAUAUCUGGCCUCCUCUUGUCUCACCGUGACCAGGUAAGCAUGUGAAAGACUACGUUUCCUGCUCCUCCAGCGGAUAGGAUGGCUAAUGAGAUAUAGGCAGAAGUUGUCGGGCAGGCCUUCCAGUAAUGCUCCAAAAGCCCCUUUUAUCCUCUUCUUUUUCCUUCCUGCCUGGAACACAUGCAUGAUGGCUGGCACUCCAGUGGCCAUUUUGUGACCUUGAGGAUGGAUCAAAACUCUACAUAUGGCAGAGAGAGAGCAGACUGUGGGUUCCUGAUGGCACUCUAGAACUACGGUACCUGCCCUGGGAGUCCCGGACUUCUUUGACUUGUGGCAGGAGAAAACCUCUGUUUCAUCUAAGCCACUAUUUUCCAGGUCUCUGCUACCUGUACCUAGAUUCAAUUCCUAACUAACAUAGAUGUCACUACAGGUCUACAGUUUUGGUCUGAAGUCAAACAACAGGAUUCUCUCUUCCCAGCCCCUCCUUCAACAGGGCCACCUGGUCCUGCUCACAGAGAACUGCUACAAGGAGCAGGUGACCCUUUACAUCACUGGGAAAACUACACCAGCUUUGGGGCCCAGGCCUGCUGAAGACAAUUGGAGAAUUGCACCUUCUGGGGCAGGGCCAGAGGGGGGACAAGCAGCACCUGCGGAGCUCCUGGUUCUGCACAGAAAAGGGAGAAAGGGAACGCUUAGUCCCGUCUCUCCCUCUGUGGGCCCUGCAGUCUCCACCUAAUUACAGUAACAAAGAAUCAAAGUGCCCCGACAGCACUGUUCACAACUGCCGGGAAAACGGUGGAAACAGCCGAAGGUCCGUGCGAGGUGAAAUGGAUACACGUGUGUGUCCAGCCAGUGGGUGCGACACAGCGAGGCAGCCGAACCUCCGCAGUGCUCAUGGAAGCAGCUGCCUCUUGCAGGAAUCGUGCCCGAGUAAAGAAGGCAGACACGGGAGAUUAUCGCCUGUAUGACUUCAUUCUGAACGUAAAGUUCAAAACCAGGCAAAACUGAUCUGGGGGUGGGAGGUCCGGACAGCUGUCCCCCGUGGAAGAGGCAGUCAGUGACGUUCCGUUUCUUGUCUGGGCUGCAGUCGCACCGUGGGCUCACUUUUCCCGUGUAAUGAGGGUUCGUGCACGUUUGCGCUUGUGGAGCGUCAGUGGUGAUGGCGCCAGCGGAGGGAGUAGCCUCGUGGGGCAGACGUAGAAGGAAGUACCGGCGGGCUCGGCACACGGUUGGGUCUCGAUGAGCCGUGUUACGACGAUCCGUGUGGAACUUUGGAUGGGAAGGGCUGGGUGCUCCCCAGCGUUUGGGUCAGCUUUGAAAAGGGUGAAAGCAGGACCUUGUGCACGCUGAGCGUGUGUUCUACCCCUGAGCAUGCUCCCCCUGGCCCCCGCGGCACCGCAGUGUCUUCGUCCAGUCAUCCGCUGACAGAUUCCAGGUUGGCUUCCGUGCCUGGGCUGUUGGGAACAGUGCUGCUGUGAAUGCCGGGUGCAUGGGAGCAAUCCUGUUAAGUGCAGUCAACACACUUGCUCGUCCCCACGCCUCCCAGCCCAGACCGGGGUCAGCAUGCGAGGUCAUUGUUUCUCCAGGACGGAGUCACCCAGCCGGUCCACGUGGUUCUGGAACCAUCUAGAAACAUCUGUGGCUUUGCCCCAGGCCUGCUCCUGCUGGUGCCUCCUUCCUGCCUUCUCAGGCCAGUCUCCCCCACAUCUGUCCGCGUGCAGCAUCUCCAAUGGCCCGUCCACGGCUGGAGCAGCACCUCACCGCGGACCCAGCUUGCCACCGGCCCCGUGGCCUCACGGACAGGAGUCUGGAGAAGCCUCCCCGUGCGCUUCUGCGGGAGGCUGCGCGGUCCUCUUGCAGACAGGCUGUUGGGAGGCUGCUCUCCUUGCAUGCUGGCUGGCGGCAGGGGGCGUCAGGGCAUGAACAGCCUUGAAAACAUCUCCCCAGACGGAGCAGCUGUAGGAAAAAGGUCACGGUCAAAACCCCAUCCCGUCGGGUUGGCUUCCAGGCCAGGAAGCAGGGGACAAGCUCUGCCUGGGCCCAGUCCCUGGGCACCUGGCCUGGCAGCCUCAGCCUCCGUGUUAUUGCUGGCUCCCGGGACCGGGGCUUUCCAGUGCCCACGCCAGGGUGGCCUGCGUGGCCGGGAGCAGAUAUUUCCCUCUGUGCCAUCUGUGGGCUUGAGGGACCCUGCCCCGCAGGUGGCAGGAAGGGGUCCCCUGUGGCUGCAGCCAGUCUGGCCCUAACUUUCCACUCUUAUUUUCUUUGGCAAAGGGCCCCCGACUAACGUGACGGGGGUCGGAGGGUCUGCUCCCAGGGGCACUGGCGGAUGGCUGGUUCCCAGCUCCCCUGCUGUCUGCUCAGGUCAACACACAUUCAUAGAGCACCUGCUGUAUUUUCUUGCUUCACUUGGGAGACUUUGCUGAGUGCCUGCGGUGCGCUUGGCUCUUCUGUGUCCUGGGGAUGCAGUCUGGAGCAAAGGUGUCACUUCAAGGCUUCAGGGAAGACAAGCUAGAAAUGCAAGAAAUGUCGGAGGACCACCAGUCGUCCUGUGGUGGGGGGUGCGUGGCCAGCAGGGGGAGGCUCCAGCCCACAGAGGAUCCGUGAGGCCGCCGGGCCUCGACCAGGCCAGGGCUGCAGCUGGAAGCCGGCGGCUGACUGCACCUCCUGUGACAGCUUCUCUCUGGAAGGGCCAUUGAGCAGUGCACCCCCCACAGCUGCCACAGCAAGAUGGGGUGCCGCUGACAUCCCCCUGGGGGAGGCAGGGGACAGACCACGUACCAACCACACCGCUUCCAGUACAGUCCCAGUGCCAGUGUCUGGAAGGAAGGAUGCAUGCUCCCCCAACCCUGCUGCUGAGGAUGGGGUCAUGGUGGGGAGCCCUCUGGAGCUGCAUGCGUGAGAGAAACACCCCAGGGUGGCCAGAGCGGAGCCUGGUCCCCCGUGACCGCUUGGAGCAGAGUCUCCUCGCCAGCCCUGCACAGCACGCCUUCCCCCUGAGCGGGAGACGUGAAUUUCCGUCUUUUUCAGCCACUGGUGUUACAUGUGGCCUAACCUAUGUCUGAAUGCAUGGCCCGAGCUUUUUGUCCACAACAGGACUCUGUCCAACAAGUGGUGGCUGGAGAAAGCUGUCAUCAGUCCGCAAGCCCAGCCCUCAGCACAGAGGCUCAGUUGAGGGGAGGGAGGGCGAGCUGUCUGGGCGCACGAUGACUCUGUCCAUUGGUACAAUGUGCAUAAAGUAAAAUUUGCCAUUUUAACCAU
Vicugna pacos (alpaca) is the source of this 7500-nucleotide non-coding RNA. The record is from RefSeq and is a predicted model, not a curated record. NCBI's taxonomy places the organism in Eukaryota, Metazoa, Chordata, Mammalia, Artiodactyla, Camelidae.